Molecule: ribosomal RNA, 480 nt
Filed under: uncultured bacterium
Lineage: Bacteria
Description: bacterial SSU rRNA
Rfam family: Bacterial small subunit ribosomal RNA
Source: RNAcentral
UUGAACGCUGGCGGCAUGCCUUACACAUGCAAGUCGAACGGCAGCGGACCUUCGGGUGCGGCGAGUGGCGAACGGGUGAGUAAUAUAUCUGAACGUACCUUUCAGUGGGGGAUAACGUAGCGAAAGUUACGCUAAUACCGCAUAUUCUGUGAGCAGGAAAGCAGGGGAUCGCAAGACCUUGCGCUGAUUGAGCGGCCGAUAUCAGAUUAGCUAGUUGGUGAGGUAAAGGCUCACCAAGGCGACGAUCCGUAGCUGGUCUGAGAGGAUGAUCAGCCACACUGGAACUGAGACACGGUCCAGACUCCUACGGGAGGCAGCAGUGGGGAAUAUUGGACAAUGGGGGCAACCCUGAUCCAGCCAUGCCGCGUGUGUGAAGAAGGCCUUCGGGUUGUAAAGCACUUUUGUUGGGGAAGAAACCGGCCGGGUUAAUACCCUGGUUGAAUGACGGUACCCAAAGAAUAAGCACCGGCUAACUUCGUG